CUUUCCUUCGGGACAGAGGAGACAGGUGGUGCAUGGUUGUCGUCAGCUCGUGUCGUGAGAUGUUGGGUUAAGUCCCGCAACGAGCGCAACCCUUAUGCUUAGUUGCCAGCAGGUCAAGCUGGGCACUCUAAGCAGACUGCCGGUGACAAACCGGAGGAAGGUGGGGAUGACGUCAAAUCAUCAUGCCCCUUAUGACCUGGGCUACACACGUACUACAAUGGCCGGUACAACGGGAAGCGAAGCCGCGAGGUGGAGCCAAUCCUAGAAAAGCCGGUCUCAGUUCGGAUUGUAGGCUGCAACUCGCCUACAUGAAGUCGGAAUUGCUAGUAAUCGCGGAUCAGCAUGCCGCGGUGAAUACGUUCCCGGGUCUUGUACACACCGCCCGUCACACCACGAGAGUUUACAACACCCGAAGUCGGUGGGGUAACCCGCAAGGGAGCCAGCCGCCGAAGGUGGGGUAGAUGAUUGGGGUGAAGUCGUAACAAGGUAGCCGUAUCGGAAGGUGCGGCUGGAUCACCUCCUUUCUAUGGAGA
Molecule: ribosomal RNA, 533 nt
Filed under: Paenibacillus sp. EKM206P
Lineage: Bacteria; Bacillati; Bacillota; Bacilli; Caryophanales; Paenibacillaceae
Description: bacterial SSU rRNA
Rfam family: Bacterial small subunit ribosomal RNA
Source: RNAcentral